Molecule: ribosomal RNA, 241 nt
Filed under: uncultured bacterium
Lineage: Bacteria
Description: partial 16S ribosomal RNA
Rfam family: Bacterial small subunit ribosomal RNA
Source: RNAcentral
CCGGCACGGGUGAGUAACACGUAUGCAAUCCACCUGUAACAGGGGGAUAACCCGGAGAAAUCCGGACUAAUACCCCAUAAUAUGGGCGCUCCGCAUGGAGAGCCCAUUAAAGAGAGCAAUUUUGGUUACAGACGAGCAUGCGCUCCAUUAGCCAGUUGGCGGGGUAACGGCCCACCAAAGUGACGAUGGAUAGGGGUUCUGAGAGGAAGGUCCCCCACAUUGGAACUGAGACACGGUCCAA